UCUAAGCUCAGUCAAACUGGUGGCUUUAAUUCAUCAAGGGUGGAAAUAGUUACACCUCAGGAAUUGACCAAGAUCACAAAUUACGACUCUUCUUUUCUUUCUUUCGGAUAGCUGGUGCUCAAAUAUUUACCAGCAAACCAGUGGCAUUCACCCAUUUUCCUCAAGGCAGAAGAGACACUAGUCUCGCUGGGAUACACUCGAGCAGAAUCUGGAAAGACUUCAGAUUGAGUAAAUGCUGAGAAAGUGCACUGGCCUCUGGCAGUUGGAGCUGAAUGAGGCAGGGAAGAGAACCUCGAGUCAACCACACCUAGAAUGGCUCCUCUUUGAGGACCUCAUCUAUUCAACAACAGGCACUGACUUCAACAUUGCAGCUAAGCAACAUUCCUUCCCGAUAAGAGAACAAGACCAUGAAGUGUAUCUGUUCAGUUUACGGAGGCUGUGCAUUGAGUGUCUUCAUGCCCUCUGCUUCACCUUUUGAUGUACAAGAGCCUAACUGAAAUGUGUAUUUAUAGAAUCUUCCUUAUUUAAGAGACAUCAAGGUUAAGCUAAGCUUUAUGGAUAAGGGCACAGCCUAAGACUAGAGGAAUAUUGUCUGAGACCAAGGCGUUUUCCACCUCUUAACAGAUAUGUAAUCUUUACUGCACUUCACUGAACAUUUGCUUUCCAUUUGUAAAACUGAUAAUAAAAAACUAACUUCUGGAGCUGCUGUAAAUAUUACCCUGAGAAAAAUAAUUAAAACAGUAAUGAAAACGUCUCAACACAGCGCAUGUCUCUCUUUGCAAGUUCAAUAUGAGUUAUUCUCGUUACUACUAUUCAGUUAGUGACACGGAGACCCGCGGAUGAUUGGUGCUUCUGUUGCAGUGGUUUUCAAAUGGGGUUGAUUUUAUACCUCAGAGGACAUCUGGCAAUGCCUGGAGACAUUUUUGGCUGUCACAACUGGGAGAAUAGGGUGCUACUGGCAUCUAGUGGGUAGAGGCCAGGGGUGCUGAUAAAUGUCCUGCAAUGCACAGGACAACAAAUAAUUCUCAGGUCUAUAUUGGCAAUAAUGAUGAGGCUGAGAAAUCCUGCAGUCUGGCACUAAGCUUCAUUAUCUUAAGAAUAAAUCUCAUCUCUAAAUAAUCUUUAAAUUCUUACUAGUGAUCACAAUGAAUAGGCUUCUUAAGGAAACACAUUUUAUUCUUUUCUGUAAUCAUUUAUUUUCUCCUCUAAACAACACUCUUUAUUAGACCAGGCAUCAUGAUGCAUGCUGGAGGUUCAAAGAUCAAAUACAUGAAGUUUGCCCUUAGUAAGAUCACAGUACAUUAAUUUAUAGAGGGAAACACAUAAUUGCCCUGCACUGAGAUGCAUAAAUCAUGAUGACAGAGAUGUUGCUUAUGAUGGUGGCAGGAGUGGGGGUACUUAAAGAUGUUGCUGGAGAGAUGGGAUGGAGUGUGUCAUGCAUGAUCUGUUCCCACUAAAAUGUCUGUGCACUUCACCUUCUAAACCAGGGGACAGGACUGAAAGGUUUGAAGCAGGAGAUACCAUGACUCAAUGUGUGCUUUAUAAAGCUUUUUUAGUGUUAGUAUAUACAGGAGAUGAAAAAUGUGAAAGAAGAGAUACACAAACCAAACAGGAUACAACUUAAAAGUGCAAACUAGAGAUUGUGAAAUUCCAAGUUUGGCCAGUGACAGGUUCAAGGGGAGAAACUUAUGAAUAGGGUUUUGCAUGAAUAGUUGAUGAAUGAGUAGCUGAGGGAGAGAAGAGAGGAGUCCUGUGACAUACCUAGAUUGCUGUGUCAGAGACUGGACUGAUACAGACUGGACUGAUGCAGACUGGACUGAUGCAGACUGGACUGAUACAGACUGGACUGAUACAUGUGGAAAGACAAAAGUGGGGAGAAAGGAUAAUGGGUUUAGUUUGAACAUUCUGAGCUGUGGGGCUGAUGUUUACAGAAUUUGGGAGAGGGAUUGCUUGGAGCAAAAAGAAUAAAGGUUGCCAAAAUACAUAUUUAGUUACUGGGACUGAGGGCUCGGUGCGGUGGCUCACACCUGUAAUCCCAGCAAUUUGGAAGGCUGAAGCGGGCGGAUCACCUGAGGUCAGGAGU
Molecule: long non-coding RNA, 2083 nt
Organism: Papio anubis (olive baboon)
Lineage: Eukaryota; Metazoa; Chordata; Mammalia; Primates; Cercopithecidae
Source: Ensembl